This is a long non-coding RNA of Choloepus didactylus (southern two-toed sloth), 1867 nucleotides long. RefSeq lists it as uncharacterized. NCBI's taxonomy places the organism in Eukaryota, Metazoa, Chordata, Mammalia, Pilosa, Megalonychidae. The transcript has 9 exons. The record is from RefSeq and is a predicted model, not a curated record.
AUUCAGUGAACAGAGGAGAGGAAUGCAGAGCACAAAAGCGCUAAUUCAGGAGUACAGAUGCAUUUAGACUCUGCCUCAGAGACCUCUGAGGUCUACAUUCAUAUUCCUGGACUUAGCUCAAGGAUCACGCUGCCGUGUGUUAAUAUGGUGUAAUCCAGAUAUGGAAGAGAUUAGUGUCAAAUGUGAGAUCAGGAAUUUGUAAACUCCGUUAUGAACAUGUCUUUGAAAAAUGUCUACAAGAAUAGCUGCUUUUCCAAUUAGUGUCAGAAUUUGAGGAAAAACCAUAUAAGUGUACACUAACAUGAAAAGAUAGAAAGAAGAAAAUGCAACUGGAAUUUUAAGUAGGGGAAGUUAUUUAUAAGAUAAAAUCAAUGGAGGAAAUAAUAAGGGAAAAAAUUGCUCCAUCUGACUAAAGUAAAAUUAAAUCUCUGUCAAACUGCUAUACAAUUAAAAGGCCAUAGUUUAUGCCUAUGUCUAAGGAGGAAUAAGACUUAACAGACACAAAUGUCCCCACUAACCCCUGCAAUUUUUAUGUGGCUACAUGGGACCAGAAUUGGGAAGGCGAGUGAAAUGUCUCCUACAUGUGUGUAUGCCCUUCACCCAUUUUCCAAACCGUGUGGGUACCCCCAACCAUGCAGAAAAAGGAUCUAUUAGAGGGUGUAAGUAUAAAGCUAGGAUGUUUAAGAAGACAAUCAUUAACCCAAAAGAAUGAAGCUCUAAUAAAGGAAUUGCAAGCAUCAUAUUAAGUUAUAGGAAACGACUUUUAGUCUCAAACCCAAAAGCCAAUAUCUGGAGUCUGAAUAACAUAGAAAGAGGAUGCACCUUUAGAAAUCCCUGGCUAACGUAAAAUAAAAUAGCCUUUUUUUGGGGCUUCAUUAUCUGGUGUUGUUGGAAAAGUAGUUUCUUGUGCCCACAUUUGGAAGAUGAGACAUGAUGAAAUUAAACAGGUCUUUCCUAAGAAGCAGCAGCUCGUGGCACCCACCCCACUAGAUGGAGGAAAAUGGAUGACUACAUGGCUUCUACUGGGAAUAUACAUUUCUCAAGAUGGAACCAGAUCUUGCUUUUUUCUGUCUCCUCAGCAGCAUCUGACUUUGUGCCUUGCAUUUCAUAGGUUUUUAUUAAAUAUGUACUGAAUGGAAUUGAAUAGACCUGAACUUUGAGUUGAAUUUUACUGCAGUGCUUCUCAACUGCAUAUGCAGAAGAAGCAACUAGAAAGCUUACUAAAAUGUAGAUUCUUGCCAUUUUAAUUCAAUAGCUCCAGAGAGGGUCUUAGGAACCUACAUUUUCAACUAGCUAAUGAGUGAUUUUGAUUAAAGUAUCAAUUUGUGCACUCUUUCACAGUCUCCCUUAUGAUGAAAUAUAUUUGUGAGACCAUUGGCCAAGAAUAAAGAUGCGUUGUGAGUUUAGGAACAAUGACAAAGAGUAUCGGUCCACAUAGUCCUAACCCUAUGAUCUUCAUUUCAAUAACAGAGACCUCUAAUCAGAAGUUCUCAAAAUGCCCAGGGAGAAGGAAUCCAAUGCUUCUGUCAAGUGCCAUCGUCAGUCUUCCCUUCCUCCCCUCCCCAGGUGGAGAUAAAAUUCUCUGGAAGUCCUGAAGGAGGGUCUAGGACAAAUUUGGCUUUCCGUCUACUGACAUCAGUAUAGAAGUCAAACCUUCAAAGAAUAGACAGGCAUUUUAGAAAGAAAUAAAGAGCUUAAACCAAAAGUCAUUACAACACUGACAACCUGCAACAUGAUAUGCUCAAUUGGUUAAUGUUUGUAAAGUGCUUUGAUCUUAUAAACACUGAGAUAAUCCCAGGCCUUGUUUAUUGAGUGCUUCUCUUCCCAAGGGCUCAAAGUGAUUUUAGGCAAUGAGCCCAGUUUUUUU